GUUUUCUUUCUUCUUCAAAGUCUCCUCUCCUU
RNAcentral lists this small RNA (32 nucleotides) under Arabidopsis thaliana (thale cress). Its description in RNAcentral is "ATSL064210". Lineage: Eukaryota; Viridiplantae; Streptophyta; Magnoliopsida; Brassicales; Brassicaceae. The record is from RNAcentral.